This 468-nucleotide ribosomal RNA is filed under the name uncultured bacterium. Its description in RNAcentral is "partial 16S ribosomal RNA". It matches the Rfam family "Bacterial small subunit ribosomal RNA", at positions 28 to 507 of the family's 1533-position model. The record is from RNAcentral.
GACGAACGCUGGCGGCGUGCUUAACACAUGCAAGUCGAACGGAAAGGCCCUGCUUUUGUGGGGUGCUCGAGUGGCGAACGGGUGAGUAACACGUGAGUAACCUGCCCUUGACUUUGGGAUAACUUCAGGAAACUGGGGCUAAUACCGGAUAGGAGCUCCUGCUGCAUGGUGGGGGUUGGAAAGUUUCGGCGGUUGGGGAUGGACUGGCGGGUUAUCAGCUUGUUGGUGGGGUAGUGGCUUACCAAGGCUUUGACGGGUAGCCGGCCUGAGAGGGUGACCGGCCACAUUGGGACUGAGAUACGGCCCAGACUCCUACGGGAGGCAGCAGUGGGGAAUAUUGCACAAUGGGCGGAAGCCUGAUGCAGCAACGCCGCGUGCGGGAUGACGGCCUUCGGGUUGUAAACCGAUUUCGCCUGUGACGAAGCGUGAGUGACGGUAAUGGGUAAAGAAGCACCGGCUAACUACGUG